CUACGGGGCGCAGCAGUGGGGAAUAUUGGACAAUGGAGGAAACUCUGAUCCAGCCAUGCCGCGUGAGCGAUGAAGGCCUUAGGGUUGUAAAACUCUUUCAGUGGUGACGAUAAUGACGGUAGCCACAGAAGAAGCCCCGGCUAACUCCGUGCCAGCAGCCGCGGUAAUACGGAGGGGGCUAGCAUUGUUCGGAAUUACUGGGCGUAAAGCGUGCGUAGGCGGCUUGGAAAGUUAGAGGUGAAAGCCCGGGGCUUAACCCCGGAACUGCCUCUAAAACUCCCAAGCUAGAAUAUCAGAGAGGUGAGUAGAAUUCCUAGUGUAGAGGUGAUAUUCGUAGAUAUUAGGAAGAAUACCAGUUGCGAAGGCGGCUCACUGGCUGAUUAUUGACGCUGAGGUACGAAAGCGUGGGGAGCAAACAGGAUUAGAUACCCGAGUAGUC
Molecule: ribosomal RNA, 439 nt
Filed under: uncultured bacterium
Lineage: Bacteria
Description: partial 16S ribosomal RNA
Rfam family: Bacterial small subunit ribosomal RNA
Source: RNAcentral